Danio rerio (zebrafish) is the source of this 89-nucleotide non-coding RNA. NCBI's taxonomy places the organism in Eukaryota, Metazoa, Chordata, Actinopteri, Cypriniformes, Danionidae. The record is from Rfam.
GGCUCUGUGGCGCAAUGGAUAGCGCAUUGGACUUUUAGGCUGUGAGCUGAGACAUUCAAAGGUUGGAGGUUUGAGUCCCACCAGAGUCG